Molecule: ribosomal RNA, 301 nt
Filed under: uncultured bacterium
Lineage: Bacteria
Description: partial 16S ribosomal RNA
Rfam family: Bacterial small subunit ribosomal RNA
Source: RNAcentral
CAGUAGCCGCGGUAAUACGGAGGGGGCUAGCGUUGUUCGGAAUUACUGGGCGUAAAGCGCACGUAGGCGGCUUGGUAAGUUAGAGGUGAAAGCCUGGAGCUCAACUCCAGAAUUGCCUUUAAGACUGCCGAGCUAGCAGGUGAGAGAGGUAAGUGGAAUUCCGAGUGUAGAGGUGAAAUUCGUAGAUAUUCGGAAGAACACCAGUGGCGAAGGCGGCUUACUGGCUCAUACUGGACGCUGAGGUGCGAAAGCGUGGGGAGCAAACAGGAUUAGAGACCCGAGUAGUCCCUGUCUCUUUACA